AACGAACGCUGGCGGCAUGCCUAACACAUGCAAGUCGAACGAGACCUUCCGGCCUAUUGGCGCACGUCUGCGUAACGCCUGGGAACCUGCCCUUAGGUUCGGUAUAACUCCCCGAAAGGUGUCUUAAUACCGGUUAAUGUCAUCGGACCAAAGAUUUAUCGCCUUUGGAUGGGCCCGCGUUGGAUUAGCCAGUUGGUAGGGUAAAAGCCUACCAAGGAGACGAUCCAUAGCUGGUCUGUGAAGAUGAUAAUCCACACUGGCACUGAGACACGGACCAGACUGCGACGGAGGGCAGCAGUAGAGAAUAUUGGACAAUGGGCGAAAGCCUGGUCCAGCAAUGCGGCGUGAGUGAUGAAGGGCUUAGGGUUGUAAAGCUCUUUUACCCGGGAUGAUAAUGACAGUAACGGGUGAAUAAGCACCGGCUAACUCCGUG
This 433-nucleotide ribosomal RNA is filed under the name uncultured bacterium. RNAcentral's name for it is "partial 16S ribosomal RNA". It matches the Rfam family "Bacterial small subunit ribosomal RNA", at positions 29 to 507 of the family's 1533-position model. The record is from RNAcentral.